AUCGAAAACUGAUCCUAUAACGUGGAAGAAUGAGUGAUCCGUUCCGUGCAGAUCGUGGCAGUGCCGAACUUGCCAAAAUUGGCCAAGGCUACGAGAAAUCUGGCUGCAGCGUAGGAAGAACUAGGGCAUCGAAGCAUCCUCCUCGCGACGGAAUUGUUUAGCUUUCAGCCCAGGCAUACACAUCAAGUAGGCAUCUGAAUUGCUAUUGAUUUGUUGUAAUCCGUGGAUACGAGCAUGGCGGGUGGAAAUUUCGUGCACAGAGUAGUUUCUUAUCUCGUGAAUGAGCUGCUUGUCGAUAGUCUUGCCAACAGCCGUACGUUUCAAAGGUUUGCUGUGAGGACGUCAAAACAAAUCGAGGAUAUAUCUACCAAGGCUGCGCAGAAGAAGCAAGAACUUGCGGAACAGGUGAAAGAUCUGUCCAAAAAUUUUGAGUCUUUCAAGAACCAGUAAUGCAGAGCGGAAUUCGCUACCGCAACAUGAUGUAAAUCCUUUUCCAAAAUCCAAAAUCCGUUUCCUCUUGUAGGCACAAAUGCAGCAGCUUUUCUUAUAAUAGCCAAAGAUGACCUCAAAGAAGUGUUUACUUACAGCCUUCUCUUUCCAUGUACUGAAUAAUUAUUUAUAACAGUAUUACUUUAGAUAUGUACUUAGAGAACUUUGGAUCAGACUUUUAUACAUGUCAUCAACUAAGCAGUAGCAAUUCAUUAAGUUUCGCCUUCAAUCCCGAAACAAAACAUGCCUUUUCUGCCAUUUGUAGCAGAUGAGAAUCGGAACUUGCUAAGGCCACGUUGAAGAGAUUCAUUUUGGCAUGUCAAGGCUGUAAUGGUUUUUAAUUAAACCAUGUUCAAGGGGAUUUUUUUUAUAUCGGUCAUGUUCGGGGUGUCAACGGGAUUGAUAGUGAGGCUGGAUUCUUCAUUUACUACAGGAACAUUGGUGUCGAGAUUUGAACUUCCAAAGAAGUAGAUGUUUUUAUCGUUACACUA
Momordica charantia (bitter melon) is the source of this 980-nucleotide non-coding RNA. The record is from RefSeq and is a predicted model, not a curated record. Lineage: Eukaryota; Viridiplantae; Streptophyta; Magnoliopsida; Cucurbitales; Cucurbitaceae.